AAGUGAUGGAUGUACUGACGUGGGUAAAGGGCAUGUUUUUUUCUUCCUUUUUUUGCAGUGCGCUUGUUUUUGCGUAAAGUACUGCUGCUGCUGCGCACGGAACAUCCCCCCUCGCUCUCUCGCUUUCUGGUUGUGUCGAUUUUUUUUUCAUCCUGUGCUCCUAACCAUCAUCCACCCCCUCCUCCUCCUCCUCCUCUUCUUUUUCUCCUCUCUCCACUUCUAUCUCGGCGCUGCGAAGAAGGAAACCGAGGGAACCGAGGAUUGAUGUGUUGCUCGACUUGAAAUUUGCCUCUUCCUUUUUUGCGCACACUGCCCACCCCCCACCACCUCCUCACGCCCGACAGCCUUGCCAUAAAAUAAUUGCUGCUUCCCCCCCCCCCUUUUUUUUUUUUGAUGAUUUCCGAUCUUUUUUCAUGUGAUGACAGUAAACGGCUGUGUGCGUGUGUGUGUGUCUGUGUGCCCUCGAUGUUCUCCGGCUGACCGUGAUAUAACCAUCUAAGGACCGUUUGGAUGCGGGAGGCAGAGGCUCUGACGCUCCGGGAAGCUUCGUCCAUGCCUCCUUGUCCUCCUCCUGCCUGCGACCGGCUGUGUGACCGGUGAUGCUCGGCCUCUCCGCCUGGAUGCGCCCCUCUCUCCGCGGUGUGCCGUCGGUACCGCUGCCCGUGUCCCCCUGUAGCAGAAUUCCACUGUUGCCGGAGAAAGGUCUAGGGACCACAUAUGGAAACUGGGGACCAGAAUUUUAGGAAAAAGGAAAACUAAGCAGGCUGUCGUUUGAUUUGCACAACUUGAUGUUGUUCCUCUUCUUCUUUGCUUGAUUUUUAUUCCUAUUAUUUGGAGAAAGAGGGGGGCAGGAGGAGGGGGGUUGAUCGUCCCUGGUUGGUUUAUUUGUUUAUUUAUUUUUAAAUUCUCCAUCCUGUCUUCUAAGGAAUGGCUGGUUUUUAUGGCAGUCAUGGCACUGGCUGAUAUUUGGCAGUAUUUAUCAUUCUGUCCUUGAUUUGGAGGUGUGUGUGUGUGUGUGUCUGUGUGUGUGUGUGUGGUUGGGGUGGGUGAAGUGCUUGGUUCUGCUGGUUUGAGUCUGUCCUCUCAUUCCUUUUGGUACAUUUAGUCCUAAUUUCCCUAACAUAUCCCGGGCCCUGCCUGCCUGUCUGUCUUGCCUGUCUCCCAUCAGAAUACAUGUGCUCAGCCUGAUUCGUCAGAAGUGCUUGACAUGAUUCACUGAUCCACCUGGGUUCACACCG
This is a long non-coding RNA of Astatotilapia calliptera (eastern happy), 1238 nucleotides long. The record is from Ensembl. Lineage: Eukaryota; Metazoa; Chordata; Actinopteri; Cichliformes; Cichlidae.